RNAcentral lists this non-coding RNA (100 nucleotides) under unclassified sequences. Its description in RNAcentral is "NiCo sequence". It matches the Rfam family "NiCo (Nickel/Cobalt) riboswitch aptamer". The record is from RNAcentral.
GCAGGAAAAGCUGAGCAGGCAGUAUCUCCUGCUGAUGGUAGAUAUGGAGCCGGGCCGUGAAAACGGCAGCAGAAGCAUGAAGCGCAUCUGCGGGACAGUA